This 429-nucleotide ribosomal RNA is filed under the name Bacteroidota bacterium. Its description in RNAcentral is "Bacteroidetes bacterium partial 16S ribosomal RNA". It matches the Rfam family "Bacterial small subunit ribosomal RNA", at positions 355 to 776 of the family's 1533-position model. Lineage: Bacteria; Pseudomonadati; Bacteroidota. The record is from RNAcentral.
UAGGGAAUCUUCGGCAAUGGGGGGAACCCUGACCGAGCAACGCCGCGUGAGUGAAGAAGGUUUUCGGAUCGUAAAGCUCUGUUGUUAAGGAAGAACGAGUGUGAGAAUGGAAAGUUCAUACUGUGACGGUACUUAACCAGAGAGGGACGGCUAACUACGUGCCAGCAGCCGCGGUAAUACGUAGGUCCCGAGCGUUGUCCGGAUUUAUUGGGCGUAAAGCGAGCGCAGGCGGUUAGAUAAGUCUGAAGUUAAAGGCAGUGGCUCAACCAUUGUAGGCUUUGGAAACUGUUUAACUUGAGUGCAGAAGGGGAGAGUGGAAUUCCAUGUGUAGCGGUGAAAUGCGUAGAUAUAUGGAGGAACACCGGUGGCGAAAGCGGCUCUCUGGUCUGUAACUGACGCUGAGGCUCGAAAGCGUGGGGAGCGAACAGG